Molecule: non-coding RNA, 316 nt
Organism: Oryzias latipes (Japanese medaka)
Lineage: Eukaryota; Metazoa; Chordata; Actinopteri; Beloniformes; Adrianichthyidae
Source: RefSeq, a predicted model, not a curated record
CACAUGUCAACUUUACAACACGUGCAGCUCACAGUCUCACAUUACAAGAAACGUCACGCUUCGAAGUCCAAACAUAAAUGCGGUCUGACCAGAUCCAGUCAGGAGCUGCAGCUCAGGAAUCUUUGACAGGCACAAUGAUAGACCGGAUCUGUGUGCCAAAAGCUCCACUAAUCACUGAUGACUCAUAGUGAAAGUCCUGAAAAGUUGAAUCACUGGACUCAACAGUCACGGGGACGCUCCUCUUCUGAUCACCAUCUGGAAAUUCCUGAUUGUGCAUAUUUUGUUCUGAUGAUAUGAAGGAAAAAAAAAAAAAAAA